RNAcentral lists this ribosomal RNA (1542 nucleotides) under Salmonella enterica subsp. arizonae. Its description in RNAcentral is "bacterial SSU rRNA". It matches the Rfam family "Bacterial small subunit ribosomal RNA". The record is from RNAcentral. Lineage: Bacteria; Pseudomonadati; Pseudomonadota; Gammaproteobacteria; Enterobacterales; Enterobacteriaceae.
AAAUUGAAGAGUUUGAUCAUGGCUCAGAUUGAACGCUGGCGGCAGGCCUAACACAUGCAAGUCGAACGGUAACAGGAAGCAGCUUGCUGCUUCGCUGACGAGUGGCGGACGGGUGAGUAAUGUCUGGGAAACUGCCUGAUGGAGGGGGAUAACUACUGGAAACGGUAGCUAAUACCGCAUAAUGUCGCAGGACCAAAGAGGGGGACCUUCGGGCCUCUUGCCAUCAGAUGUGCCCAGAUGGGAUUAGCUUGUUGGUGAGGUAACGGCUCACCAAGGCGACGAUCCCUAGCUGGUCUGAGAGGAUGACCAGCCACACUGGAACUGAGACACGGUCCAGACUCCUACGGGAGGCAGCAGUGGGGAAUAUUGCACAAUGGGCGCAAGCCUGAUGCAGCCAUGCCGCGUGUAUGAAGAAGGCCUUCGGGUUGUAAAGUACUUUCAGCGGGGAGGAAGGGGAUAAGGCUAAUAACCUUGUUCAUUGACGUUACCCGCAGAAGAAGCACCGGCUAACUCCGUGCCAGCAGCCGCGGUAAUACGGAGGGUGCAAGCGUUAAUCGGAAUUACUGGGCGUAAAGCGCACGCAGGCGGUCUGUCAAGUCGGAUGUGAAAUCCCCGGGCUCAACCUGGGAACUGCAUUCGAAACUGGCAGGCUUGAGUCUUGUAGAGGGGGGUAGAAUUCCAGGUGUAGCGGUGAAAUGCGUAGAGAUCUGGAGGAAUACCGGUGGCGAAGGCGGCCCCCUGGACAAAGACUGACGCUCAGGUGCGAAAGCGUGGGGAGCAAACAGGAUUAGAUACCCUGGUAGUCCACGCCGUAAACGAUGUCUACUUGGAGGUUGUGCCCUUGAGGCGUGGCUUCCGGAGCUAACGCGUUAAGUAGACCGCCUGGGGAGUACGGCCGCAAGGUUAAAACUCAAAUGAAUUGACGGGGGCCCGCACAAGCGGUGGAGCAUGUGGUUUAAUUCGAUGCAACGCGAAGAACCUUACCUGGUCUUGACAUCCACAGAACCCUGUAGAGAUACGGGGGUGCCUUCGGGAGCUGUGAGACAGGUGCUGCAUGGCUGUCGUCAGCUCGUGUUGUGAAAUGUUGGGUUAAGUCCCGCAACGAGCGCAACCCUUAUCCUUUGUUGCCAGCGGUCCGGCCGGGAACUCAAAGGAGACUGCCAGUGAUAAACUGGAGGAAGGUGGGGAUGACGUCAAGUCAUCAUGGCCCUUACGACCAGGGCUACACACGUGCUACAAUGGCGCAUACAAAGAGAAGCGACCUCGCGAGAGCAAGCGGACCUCAUAAAGUGCGUCGUAGUCCGGACUGGAGUCUGCAACUCGACUCCAUGAAGUCGGAAUCGCUAGUAAUCGUGGAUCAGAAUGCCACGGUGAAUACGUUCCCGGGCCUUGUACACACCGCCCGUCACACCAUGGGAGUGGGUUGCAAAAGAAGUAGGUAGCUUAACCUUCGGGAGGGCGCUUACCACUUUGUGAUUCAUGACUGGGGUGAAGUCGUAACAAGGUAACCGUAGGGGAACCUGCGGUUGGAUCACCUCCUUA